GCCUAUUAGAACUUAUAAGUUGAAACACAUCCCAAAAGCAUGUACAAAUUGAAGCAAACAAGCAAAGUACGCAAUUUCAUUUUUCAAGGCCAGUAGACAUGUACUUGCUCGCAUGGUUCGAUGCUCAAAAGCAACCGUGGCUUUGCUCAUCGAUCUUCAGUAUAGCUUGCAAGACAUGCUUUCGAACUAACCAAAACAAAUAUAGCCACACACACGCACACUUGUAAGCUGUGGUUGCCAGCAGGCUUGACUGCUUGAGCUCAAGUUUCCGAUCCUACCUGUUGUGAAGAGCAUCGGGGCAGCUCGGAAUCCGCCGCUUGUCGUCGCCGAACCGGGCGGCAACGGAAGGCGACGAAAAGCCUCCGGCGCCGCCGCCUGCAGGUAUUGGCCUAGAGCCCAGGACGUGUGACCCUGCGACGGCGACGCUUGGACGGCGGGGCACCGGAACCGCAGCUGCUAGAAGAUUAACGCUGCCAUGGAGGCAUACCCAGAAAAGGCACAUGAUGAUGACAGCUACAGAGUUCCUUCUCGGCCUCCUAUUCGCCGCCGCUCGCAUUGCAUCGACGUCCGUGAUAUCUUCCCGUGCAGCUGCAGGCUGCAGCUAGCUGCAGGAAGAGAGAGAGAGAGAGACACACACAGGAGGACGAGAAGGAAAGGAAGGAUCGAGGAGGAAGAGGAAGAGGGCUCGUUACUCGUUAGCACGCCGCAGCACAGGUGAAGCCGUGAGGGUGGGUGAGCCAUCUGUUUCUCCGCACCGAAACAAAACAAUGCGCGUGAGCAGCGGGAAUCAAGGAGUAUUGCCUGAAACGUUCCACACGAAAAACUUUGCGCGGCAUGUUAUACUAGUACAAGCCAAUAGUAGUAUGAAAAUAUUAGGAAAAUGACUCGGUGUGUUACUGGUACUCGAAGAAGCGUUCAGAGUUUUCUUGGCGAGUCAAAAGCAUUUUAAGUUUGACAAUGCUGAU
RNAcentral lists this long non-coding RNA (965 nucleotides) under Setaria italica (foxtail millet). RNAcentral describes it as "long non-coding RNA (SITA_LNC003475)". Lineage: Eukaryota; Viridiplantae; Streptophyta; Magnoliopsida; Poales; Poaceae. The record is from RNAcentral.